GUGAACUCAUCUUCGGGGGUAGAGCACUGUUUCGACUAGGGGGUCAUCCCGACUUACCAACUCGAUGCAAACUACGAAUACCGAAGAAUGUUAUCACGGGAGACACACGGCGGGUGCUAACGUUCGUCGUGAAGAGGGAAACAACCCAGACCGCCAGCUAAGGUCCCAAAGUCAUAGUUAAGUGGGAAACGAAGUGGGAAGGCUCAGACAGCCAGGAUGUUGGCUUAGAAGCAGCCAUCAUUUAAAGAAAGCGUAAUAGCUCACUGGUCGAGUCGGCCUGCGCGGAAGAUGUAACGGGGCUAAACUAUGCACCGAAGCUGCGGCAGCGAACGUAUCACUUAAACUGAUUAAGUGAUACUCAAAUGUAUCAAAACGAUUGACGGAGCGAAGCGACGUCAAUGCGUCCAACAAAGUCGAGGCGGAAACGUCAGGCAGUCAGUUUAAGGAUACGUUCGUUGGGUAGGGGAGCGUUCUGUAAGCCUGUGAAGGUGUGCUGUGAGGCAUGCUGGAGGUAUCAGAAGUGCGAAUGCUGACAUAAGUAACGAUAAUGCGGGUGAAAAACCCGCACGCCGGAAGACCAAGGGUUCCUGUCCAACGUUAAUCGGGGCAGGGUGAGUCGACCCCUAAGGCGAGGCAGAAAUGCGUAGUCGAUGGGAAACGGGUUAAUAUUCCCGUACUGGUGAUAAUUGCGAUGGGGGGACGGAGAAGGCUAGGCUAUCCGGGCGACGGUUGUCCCGGUUUAAGGAUGUAGGC
RNAcentral lists this ribosomal RNA (753 nucleotides) under Providencia rettgeri. RNAcentral describes it as "partial 23S ribosomal RNA". It matches the Rfam family "Bacterial large subunit ribosomal RNA", at positions 884 to 1525 of the family's 2925-position model. Lineage: Bacteria; Pseudomonadati; Pseudomonadota; Gammaproteobacteria; Enterobacterales; Morganellaceae. The record is from RNAcentral.